UACAGAGGGUGCAAGCGUUGCUCGGAAUCAUUGGGCGUAAAGGGCAAGUAGGUGGUCUCAUUUGUCUAGGGUGAAAUCCUUGAGCUUAACUCAAGAAGUGCCCUAGAAACGGUGGGACUAGAGUUCUGGAGAGGGUCGUGGAAUUCCCGGUGUAGCGGUGAAAUGCGUAGAGAUCGGGAGGAACACCAGAGGCGAAGGCGGCGACCUGGACAGAUACUGACACUCAACUGCGAAAGCGUGGGGAGCAAACAGG
This 253-nucleotide ribosomal RNA is filed under the name uncultured bacterium. Its description in RNAcentral is "partial 16S ribosomal RNA". It matches the Rfam family "Bacterial small subunit ribosomal RNA", at positions 524 to 776 of the family's 1533-position model. The record is from RNAcentral.